UACGGAGGGUGCGAGCGUUGUCCGGAAUCACUGGGCGUAAAGGGCGCGUAGGUGGCUACUUAAGCGUGUGGUGAAAGUCCGGGGCUCAACCCCGGAUCGGCCGUGCGAACUGAGUGGCUUGAGCACUGUAGAGGCAGGUGGAAUUCCGGGUGUAGCGGUGGAAUGCGUAGAGAUCCGGAAGAACACCGGUGGCGAAGGCGGCCUGCUGGGCAGUGGCUGACACUGAGGCGCGACAGCGUGGGGAGCAAACAGGAUUAGAUACCCGAGUAGUCC
Molecule: ribosomal RNA, 273 nt
Filed under: uncultured bacterium
Lineage: Bacteria
Description: partial 16S ribosomal RNA
Rfam family: Bacterial small subunit ribosomal RNA
Source: RNAcentral